UUUAAAGGUUGGCUGAAAAUUGAAUCAGUAUUUUCAUAUUAAGUGUUACGUGUACUUAAAAGCCAUUGUGUGUUAAAAUAUUUUGUGAUGACAACAUUAAAGUAUGACAUUAACUUUGUGAUGUGAAACUCUUAACUAGGGAAAAGGGAAUAAAGGACGACAUAAACGGCAAAGGAAACGAGUGGAAGAUCAAGCCUCUGAGGAGGAGGAGAUGGAGGAGGACAUUUAUGAUGAUGAAGUGUAUAACUAUGAAUAUGAGGUUGGAGUUCCUUCAUUCAUGAAUGAAUAGUCUUUAAAGUUAUGUGCAAGCAUGGUGAAC
Long non-coding RNA from Pygocentrus nattereri (red-bellied piranha), 319 nucleotides. NCBI's taxonomy places the organism in Eukaryota, Metazoa, Chordata, Actinopteri, Characiformes, Serrasalmidae. The record is from Ensembl.